UCUUCCACAAUGGACGACAGUCUGAUGGAGCAACGCCGCGUGAGUGAUGAAGGGUUUCGGCUCGUAAAACUCUGUUGUUGGAGAAGAACAGGUGUGAGAGUAAAUGUUCACAUCUUGACGGUAUCAAACAAGAAAGCCACGGCUAACUACGUGCCAGCAGCCGCGGUAAUACGUAGGUGGCAAGCGUUGUCCGGAUUUAUUGGGCGUAAAGCGAGCGCAGGCGGUUUUUUAGGUAUGAUGUGAAAGCCUUCGGCUUAACCGGAGAAGUGCAUCGGAAACCGGGUGACUUGAGUGCAGAAGAGGACAGUGGAACUCCAUGUGUAGUGGUGAAAUGCGUAGAUAUAUGGAAGAACACCAGUGGCGAAGGCGGCUGUCUGGUCUGUAACUGACGCUGAGGCUCGAAAGCAUGGGUAGCGAACAGG
RNAcentral lists this ribosomal RNA (422 nucleotides) under uncultured bacterium. RNAcentral describes it as "bacterial SSU rRNA". It matches the Rfam family "Bacterial small subunit ribosomal RNA", at positions 362 to 776 of the family's 1533-position model. The record is from RNAcentral.